RNAcentral lists this long non-coding RNA (2035 nucleotides) under Heterocephalus glaber (naked mole-rat). RNAcentral's name for it is "lncRNA (ENSHGLG00100045611.1)". The record is from RNAcentral. Lineage: Eukaryota; Metazoa; Chordata; Mammalia; Rodentia; Bathyergidae.
CAGGUACGCAGGUACGUCCCCCAGCCUCAGCCUGCAGCCCCAUCCCUGUCCCCUGAGACCGUCACUGAGACCCUGGUCCCCUCCUGUACUGCUGGUCUCUGCUGGUGUCCAGAGCCCGUCCCCACACAUUUUUGAAGUUCAGGAAAGGAGAGUCAGCUGUCAGAGGUGAGCGUGCAGAUGGCACAAAAGGGGCUCCGCCCUUCCAUCCCCUCGGCUGGGGAGGGGGAAGCCGGGCUCCUGCACCCCACCGCAGCUGUCUCCCAUCCCGAGCACCUACGUUUCAAAUUGAUCCCGGUUUCCUGAAAUCUUGGCUCUGAAGUUGUCGAGGAGGCUUUGGAGAGGCUUUAAAUACAAGCACAUUAACUCCUCUAUUUCAACUCCCUCAUCAUGAGCCAUGGCAGCUCAAAAAUGCCGUCUACGAUGUCACGUCACAAAGGCUUGGAAAAUUAUCCGUCAGCCCCAUUGUCUGCCUGUUUUCUUUUAUUCCUUCUCUACUCAUCAUGCUCGUUGGCAGCCAUGAAUGAAAUGUAACAUGCUAAAUGACUGACAUCCAUUAAGCCUCCUCGACAAACCUCGGCCGUGUUUUGAAAGGCCCCUGGAAGAAAAAGGAUUGUGUGCUCUUUGAAUCCUGGCCUGCUGAAUGGCUGCCAAGCGAGGACUGCUCCAUUCAAAGGGCUGCGUGAAUAAAUGAGAAUAACAUCCUUGGGGACCCAGCGGAUCAGCUUUCUCUGAAAAUGCUCAGCUUCACAAAGGGUCAGAGUCACAAGAAAAGAAGCGAAGCUCUUCACUUUUGGGAAACUGUUGGAAGGACACACGUGCUGGAACUGAAUGAAGCGCCAAGGGAGAGGAGAACUUUCCUUCAGUCAUAGAGUUCAAGGCAGCAUCCACAGAUGGAUGAAAGUGGACAGAAGAGAUCCUGUCUUCUUUGGCCUUUCAAAAAACAACAAACAGAACAAAACAAAGCAACACAACUCCUGAAUGCAAGACCCUUUCCCAGAAAUACCCCGGAUGAUUUUUGAAAUUGGAACAUAUCACUCUGACAUUUGGAUAUAUCUUACAAAUGAUUGCAAUUACUAUGCUCAUUUAUGAAUAUUAGGGAAUAAGAACAGUAUAAAAAUUUCUAAUCAAAAUGAGAAUUCUUAAAAGGCUUACCAAGGAAAACAUGGCUUUCUUGUUUUUGAACACAUUUUAGGGUUGACAUGGAGAGAAUGGCUUGGCAUUAUUCCCCUGUAGGAAAUAUAAAUAAUUUCUAAAGUUUGUUUAGCAUUUACAUAUUCUUUAAAAUGCUAGAGUGAGCGCUUAAUCUCGUUCUUUCUUAUACUCACUGAGCCAGGUGGGUACUACUAAUAUCACCCCAUUUUAUAGAUGAGAAAUGUGAGGUGCAGAGAGGUCACAUCAUUAUUCCACUGCAUUCUCCUGAUGAAUUUCACAAAAGGCUAACUCUGGAAACUCAAGAGGCUUGAUGAAUGCCUGCCUCCCAAGCCAUUGGGAUGUCCCCAUUCAUUUUAUCCAGAACUUGGACAAAAAUCUCAGGGCAUAAUGUUUUGAGGCUAUCUUGAAAAUUAUGAUCACUGGUGGUUUUCUUUUAAAAUCCCUCUUAUACUAGUACUUAAAGAUCGAGUAUAUGUACUUUCAAAUUUCCCUAAUUUAGCAUCCAUUCAAGUUGUUCCUGAGUUUGGUGCUUCUCAGACUUCAAGGAGCCUAAGAAUAGCCAAGGAUCUUGUUACAUGUGGGUUAUGAUUUGAAAGGUGUGGGAAGGUACUCAAAAGCUCAGGUGAUGCCAGCACUGCUGGUUUCAGGACCACAGACUAGAAAGUGUCAAAUGGCCAUUUACACGGUGACAGAGACGGGCGAUGUGCCAGGCCAGCUCCAGGUAGCCGUGAAAGUCAAUUCUCAAAUUUUCAGGAAUCUCAAGAGGUGGUUGUUAAGCACAGUCACAAUUAACAGCUAAAAUUAUAUGAAUUUGCAAUGAAAUAAACUGUAUUAAAAGUAAGGCAAAAAAAAAAAAUAAAAGUAAGGCAAUAAGUUCCCAAAG